RNAcentral lists this long non-coding RNA (666 nucleotides) under Anser cygnoides (Swan goose). RNAcentral describes it as "lncRNA (ENSACDG00005010992.1)". Lineage: Eukaryota; Metazoa; Chordata; Aves; Anseriformes; Anatidae. The record is from RNAcentral.
AUGGAGAGUUUAGGUAAAGACCGUGCUUAUUCAGACCCUUCCCUGCCACCCUCUACAGCUUGUGAGGAGCAUGCUGUGCCAGGUGUCACCACCCGCCGCUUGAGAGACCGGGAGAUGCUCCGGAAAAGAAAGGCAGAAGCCCAGGAGAAGGAUUCAAUUCAGUGGGCUAUAGGGGAGCAGGAGAGGAGCAAGCAGCAGAGAAGACGACGAGGAGCCAGGCGAGGACGGGGCCGAAAAACCGUGGUGAAGCCCACACCGAAGCCAGAACCAGAGCUGGACCCUGAGCCCCCGGCGCAGAAGGAGGCUGAGCUGGUGCCCCCCGUGCCAGCGCACCAAGCCCAGCCACCCAUGAUGGCCAUGCAGGAGAUGCUCGGUGGGGUGCAGAUGGGAGCACUGGAGGGAGAGAUGGCAUCUGGGAGCCAGGGCCCUCUGGGUGAAGAGGAAGUGCUGAAACUAGCGGAAGAAAUACCAGAAGAACUGAAUACUCCCCUGGAAAACGACACAGAGGGUAGCGAAUACUUCCCGUCAGUCCUAUUCUAAGUUUCUCUCUCGAGUUUUACAUUUUCAUUUACAAUUCUAUGUCUGAGAGAAACUCCGAUGAGUGUUGUAGAGAGAUGUAGACCCCCUCCUUCCUGGUGAAUAAUAAAGCCCAGAGUCUCCUGGCCA